Non-coding RNA from Pelobates cultripes (western spadefoot toad), 228 nucleotides. The record is from the annotation of a GenBank genome assembly. Lineage: Eukaryota; Metazoa; Chordata; Amphibia; Anura; Pelobatidae.
CUUCAGAUAGGUCAUGUCAACAGCAGUCACCGUUUAGAGUGACAACAGAAAUCAUACAAACAAACAGAAAAAACAAAAGAAACAUGGUAAGUGCAACCGGAGAGUUUAAACAACCCUGUUAGGGUAAAGUACAAGCCUGUCUCUGCAGGCAUCUAGGAGAGUUCAGGUAGUGCAUCUACAUAGGCGGCUGGAGUUACUCCCCGAGGUAUAAACUGAAUCACUGCUGCU